AAGGGGAGCAAUCCCUGAGUAAAGUGGCGACCGGGUGAGUAACACGUGACUAACCUACCCUCGAGUGUGGAAUAACAUCGGGAAACCGAUGCUAAUACCGCAUAACAUCGCAAGAUCAAAGGAGCAAUCCGCUUGAGGAGGGGGUCGCGGCUGAUUAGCUAGUUGGCGGGGUAACGGCCCACCAAGGCGAAGAUCGGUAGCCGGCCUGAGAGGGCGCACGGCCACACUGGAACUGAAACACGGUCCAGACUCCUACGGGAGGCAGCAGUGGGGAAUUUUGCGCAAUGGGCGAAAGCCUGACGCAGCGACGCCGCGUGGGGGAUGAAGGCCUUCGGG
This 336-nucleotide ribosomal RNA is filed under the name uncultured bacterium. RNAcentral's name for it is "bacterial SSU rRNA". It matches the Rfam family "Bacterial small subunit ribosomal RNA", at positions 72 to 422 of the family's 1533-position model. The record is from RNAcentral.